This 632-nucleotide ribosomal RNA is filed under the name Priestia megaterium. Its description in RNAcentral is "bacterial SSU rRNA". It matches the Rfam family "Bacterial small subunit ribosomal RNA", at positions 811 to 1442 of the family's 1533-position model. The record is from RNAcentral. Lineage: Bacteria; Bacillati; Bacillota; Bacilli; Caryophanales; Bacillaceae.
GAGUGCUAAGUGUCAGAGGGUUUCCGGCCUUUAGUGCUGCAGGUAACGCAUUAAGCACUCCGCCUGGGGAGUACGGUGGCAAGACUGAAACUCAAAGGAAUUGACGGGGGGCCGCACAAGCGGUGGAGCAUGUGGUUUAAUUUGAAGCAACGCGAAGAACCUUACCAGGUCUUGACAUCCUUUGACAACUCUAGAGAUAGAGCGUUCCCCCCCCCCGGACAGAGUGACAGGUGGUGCAUGGUGUCGUCAGCUCGUGUCGUGAGAUGUUGGGUUAAGUCCCGCAACGAGCGCAACCCUUGAUCUUAGUUGCCAGCAUUCAGUUGGGCACUCUAAGGUGACUGCCGGUGACAAACCGGAGGAAGGUGGGGAGGACGUCAAAUCAUCAUGCCCCUUAUGACCUGGGCUACACACGUGCUACAAUGGAUGGUACAAAGGGCCGCAAGACCGCGAGGUCAAGCCAAUCCCAUAAAACCAUUCUCAGUUCGGAUUGUAGGCUGCAACUCGCCUACAUGAAGCCGGAAUCGCUGGUAAUCGCGGAUCAGCAUGCCGCGGUGAAUACGUUCCCGGGCCUUGUACACACCGCCCGUCACACCACGAGAGUUUGUAACACCCGAAGUCGGUGGAGUAACCUU